Molecule: ribosomal RNA, 373 nt
Filed under: uncultured organism
Description: bacterial SSU rRNA
Rfam family: Bacterial small subunit ribosomal RNA
Source: RNAcentral
CGUAGGGUGCGAGCGUUGUCCGGAAUUAUUGGGCGUAAAGGGCUCGUAGGCGGUUUGUUGCGUCAGGAGUGAAAACUCGGGGCUUAACCCCGAGCCUGCUUCUGAUACGGGCAGACUAGAGGUAUGCAGGGGAGAACGGAAUUCCUGGUGUAGCGGUGAAAUGCGCAGAUAUCAGGAGGAACACCGGUGGCGAAGGCGGUUCUCUGGGCAUUACCUGACGCUGAGGAGCGAAAGUGUGGGGAGCGAACAGGAUUAGAUACCCUGGUAGUCCACACCGUAAACGUUGGGCGCUAGGUGUGGGACUCAUUCCACGAGUUCCGUGCCGCAGCUAACGCAUUAAGCGCCCCGCCUGGGGAGUACGGCCGCAAGGCUA